GGAUCCCGCCUCCUCUGGAUCCCCAUGAUCCUUCUCUCCUUGGAUCCCACUUCCCCUGGAUCCUCAUCCCUGGAUUCCAGAUCCUUUUUCCCCUGGGUCCCACCUUCCCACCUCUCCUGGAUCCUGGACCCUUCCCUCCUUGGAUCCCGUCUCUCCUGGAUCCCUUUUUCCCUGGAUCUUUUCUUCCCUAGAUCCUGAUCCCUGGAUCCUGGACCCCGCACCAUCCCUGGAUCUUGUUUUCCCUUGAUCCCACUCCUUUGGAUCCAGGAUCCCGCCUCCCCCGGAUCCCAUCCUGCUCUGGAUCCUUUUCUCCCUGGAUUCUGUCCUGCUCUGGAUCCUGGAUCCGGCACUACCCCUGGAUCCUGGAUCCUUCUCUCCCUGGAUCUCACCUCCCCUGGAUCCUGGAUCCUACAGGGUCCUUUUCCCCCUGGAUCUUGUCCUCCCUUGAUCCUGAUCUCUGGAUCCUGAAUUCUUCCCUUCCCUGGAUCCCACCUCCCCUGGAUCCUUCUCUCCCCAGAUCUUGUCCUCUCUGGAUCCUGAAUUCUGGAUCUUUUUCUCUCUGGAUCCUGAUCCUUCCCUCCCUGGAUUCUGGAUCCUUUUCCCCACUGGAUCCUUUUCCCCACUGGAUCCUGAUCCUUCCCUCCCUGGAUCCUGGAUCCUUUCUCCCCUGGAUCCCCCCACUGGAUCCCAGCCCCCUCUCCAGCUCUCCCAGAUUUCCCCAUCAGAUCCCGCCUGGAUCCCCCCAGAUCCCUCAGGAUCCCCCGGGAUCCCCCCUCUCACCUUGGCUCCCGCGGCUGCGGCCGCUUUGGCCUCGGCCCCGAGGCGCUCGAACACCGAGGGACGGCCCAGACCUGCCGAGGUUGGGGAGAAAUUCAGGGAUUUUGGGAAAAAAUGGCGGAUUUAGGAUCCAGGAAGGGAAUCUUGGGAUCGAGAAGGGGAAAUUGGGGAUCCAGGAGGGGAAAUUGGGAUCUGGGAGGGAGAAUUUAGAAUCCAGGAAGAGAAACUGGGGAUCCAGGAGAGAAAAUUCAGGAUCCAGCAGGGGAAAUUGGGGAUCCAAGAGAGGGAAGCUCAGGAUCCAUCAGGGAAACCCGGGGUCCGGGAGGGGAAAUUGGGGAUCCAAGAGGGGAAAUUGGGGAUCCAGGAGGGGAAAUUGGGAUCUGGGAGGGGAAAUUGGGGAUCCAGGGAGAGAACUUUGAGGAUCCCAAAAGGGAAAUUUGGAGAUCUAUCAGGGGAAAUAAGGAUCCAUCAGGGAAAACUCAGGAUCCACCAGGGACCCCCGGGAUCCACCAGGGACCCCCAGGAUUGACCAGGGACCCCCGGGAUCGAUCAGGGACCCCCGAGACCCACCAGGGACCCCCAGGAUCCACCAGGGACCCCCGGGAUCCACCAGGGAGCCCCGGGCCCCGCCGUGCCGUACCUCGGGCGGCGUGCAGGCGCAGGAUGUGGCGGCUGCGGGCCGUGGUGCCCUUGGGCAGCGAGAUCACGUACUUGCCCUCGGCCUCGGCCGUCACCCGGCGCCGCCUGGGCAGCGCCGGCGCGGCCUCGGCAC
Molecule: long non-coding RNA, 1549 nt
Filed under: Junco hyemalis (dark-eyed junco)
Lineage: Eukaryota; Metazoa; Chordata; Aves; Passeriformes; Passerellidae
Description: lncRNA (ENSJHYG00000010768.1)
Source: RNAcentral